CGGCGUAAAGUGUGGUCUAGUAAAAAUACUUGCAGGAUCAAAUAGUCUCAACGCUGUUAUACGUCUACGAGAUCAGUAAGUCCAAAACGAAAGUUGUCCUCAUAUACUACAAUCCACGAAAGCCAAGACCUAAACAGGGAUCAGAUACCCCUCUAUACUUGGCCGUAAACAAAGGUACUCAUUUACAUAGAGUGCUCGCCAGGGUACUACGAGCAUUAUAGCUUGAAACCUAAAGGACCUGGCGGUGCUUCACAUCCACUUAGAGGAGCCUGUCCUGUAACUGAUAUUCCUCAUUAAACCUCACCUUCUCUAGCUUACUCAGUCUAUAUACCGCCGUCGUCAGCUUUCCCCUUGAGGGUCUACGACAGUUAGCCCAAACAACUAUCGCCUAAAGACGUCAGGUCGAGGUGUAGCCUACGGGAAGGGAAGAGAUGGGCUACAUUUUCUACCCCUAGAAAAUACGAAUGAUUAUCUGAAAUAGAUUCUUUACACUGAAGGUGGAUUUAGCAGUAAGAAGGGAACAAGAGAGUCCCUCUGAACAUUGCUCUAAAGCGCGUACAUACCGCCCGUCACCCUCCCCUUUAUCCACAAAUCAUAGAAUUAGGAUGCCCGAGGAGG
Molecule: ribosomal RNA, 618 nt
Filed under: Bregmaceros atlanticus (antenna codlet)
Lineage: Eukaryota; Metazoa; Chordata; Actinopteri; Gadiformes; Bregmacerotidae
Description: partial 12S ribosomal RNA
Rfam family: Bacterial small subunit ribosomal RNA
Source: RNAcentral